UAAAAGGCUAGGAACAGGACUAGUAUAGUCUGAGGCGGAGUUCAGAGAGUCGGGUAAGGUGGGAGCCGAUACUUGCGCAAGGCUAGAAUGGACCUGGGAGCCGCAAACCGAAAAGCUAUGAAGCUGAGUAGGCUUUGCCGGUAAAGCACCGUUAAAAGCUCAGGGUAUCGCUCUUAAGUUGAGCCGUACCUGAAAAGAGAUAGUCGCAAGACUGAAAUAGGGUGGCACCGCGAAAGUUAAGCCUCUCGCCCCUUGG
Molecule: non-coding RNA, 256 nt
Filed under: Dehalococcoidia bacterium
Lineage: Bacteria; Bacillati; Chloroflexota; Dehalococcoidia
Description: T-box sequence
Rfam family: T-box leader
About the family: Uncharged tRNA acts as the effector for transcription antitermination of genes in the T-box leader family.
Source: RNAcentral